This 253-nucleotide ribosomal RNA is filed under the name uncultured bacterium. RNAcentral describes it as "partial 16S ribosomal RNA". It matches the Rfam family "Bacterial small subunit ribosomal RNA", at positions 524 to 776 of the family's 1533-position model. The record is from RNAcentral.
UACGUAGGGUGCAAGCAUUAAUCGGAAUUAUUGGGCGUAAAGGGCGUGUAGGCGGAUUUGUAAGUCAGAUGUGAAAUUUCGGGGCUCAACCUCGAAGCUGCAUUUGAAACUGCUAAUCUGGAGGGUUGACGGAGAAAACGGAAUUCCACGUGUAGCGGUGAAAUGCGUAGAUAUGUGGAAGAACACCAGUGGCGAAAGCGGUUUUCUAGUUAACACCUGACGCUGAGGCGCGAGAGCAAGGGGAGCAAACAGG